CCCUUAGGUUGGCUUACCUGGAGGGGAAAGCUUUUUCCCAAAGAUGGGGGCAUCUUCUACGGGGUGAUCUGCCGUUCGGACCAAUGAACAGGGAUUGAAUGGAAGCGGGGCUAACCGGGCAGGGUCAGUAUGGCUCCCGAAAUCCGCCACGGGUAUAGCAUCUCCGAGCUUCAAAUGGGCAGGGGACAAAUUGGGUUUCUCGACCCCUGCAAAAGGGAAGGCAAAUCUUUUAAACCCCUGUUUUACAGUUGGGAGUUCGAACGGGCUUGGAAAACCACGCCUUUCGUUGAAACAUGGAAUGCCCUAAGUAAUUUGCAGCGUCAUUCAUUCCACUGCCGGUAGAAUACUCGUGCCCCGCUCCUUUGCACCACAGCGCGCGCCGUCCGCUCCCAUCCCGACUUGGGGUUUAGGGCGACGGCGUCGGUGCUUAUUCGGAUGGCGUAGAAUCUCGAUGUUCCGCAAGGAGGGAGAGGGUCGUAACAACGGUAGCCGUAAUCAUCUACGGCGGCCGCCUGCAUGUCGCCCAUAUGGACAGGCUCCCAACGCGUUGAUGCAUACGCUUGCGAGUGAAAGAGCGCGACAGGUUGCGUUCG
Molecule: ribosomal RNA, 593 nt
Filed under: uncultured archaeon
Lineage: Archaea
Description: partial 16S ribosomal RNA
Source: RNAcentral